RNAcentral lists this transfer-messenger RNA (353 nucleotides) under Bacillota bacterium. It matches the Rfam family "transfer-messenger RNA". Rfam says of the family: Bacterial tmRNA, also known as 10Sa RNA or SsrA, is named for its dual tRNA and mRNA-like properties. The record is from RNAcentral. RNAcentral also lists the same sequence under 1 other name. Lineage: Bacteria; Bacillati; Bacillota.
GGGGGCGUUUGGUUUCGACGGGGGUAGUAUUGGCGAAAGCAGCGAGCCGAGCUCUUUCCAACUCGUUAAACUGGAAAACCUAAAUUAAACGCAAAACAAGAUUUAGCUUACGCUGCUUAAUUAAAAGCUGCGCGCCUUACCGACUUCUGCCUGUGGAGUUGGAUAAGGUGUCAUAAUUAACAGGCUAUUCUCCUUUAUCGCCCCGGUGAAGGAGAAGAAAUCUAGGGGCUAGCUUUGCAAAAGAUCCUGCCCUUGGGAGUUUUGCAAAGCGAAAUCAAAACCAAGGGAUACGCUCGUAGAAGCUUUCGUGGGUACACCUUCGGACAGGGGUUCGAUUCCCCUCGCCUCCACCA